Xenia sp. Carnegie-2017 is the source of this 529-nucleotide long non-coding RNA. RefSeq lists it as uncharacterized. NCBI's taxonomy places the organism in Eukaryota, Metazoa, Cnidaria, Anthozoa, Malacalcyonacea, Xeniidae. The transcript has 2 exons. The record is from RefSeq and is a predicted model, not a curated record.
AUUUUCAUUCUUGUGUAAAUCACAACUAAAAACAUUUCAUUGAAGCUCGAUUCAUUUAAAACGAAGGUAACGCGCAAUUAGUCGGGUUUAUAGUUAGUCUGAUUUGUUGGAAACGAAAGAAUAUUUCACUAGUGUGUUGUCUACGUUAUUAUUACGAUGAAUUGAACAGGAUUGUAUUGAAUUUAACAGGGUUGUAUUGAAUUGAACAGGGCUGUAUUGAAUUGAACAGGGCUAUCGUGAUAUGAACAAGGUGUACUAACUGAAAUUUUGGGUGUGAAAAAUAAAAUGAAAUGUUGGUCAUUUCGUGAAUUAAUUAACUUAUUCGGUACGAAAUAAAGUUGGCCGAAUAAUUACAGGUGAUUGCCAUAAAUCUGCCUAAGACUGUAAAAGCUGAACUCUCUUGGGACACCUCAGAGGCAAGGAAAAAAGCACAAUUAGAGAAUUUAAUGUUACAAAAAAUAAAAGAUUCAAGAAAAAUAUAUGGACGCAUGAAGAUUUAUUAUGUUGGUGAAAAGAUAACAAAAAGCAA